Molecule: transfer-messenger RNA, 394 nt
Filed under: chicken gut metagenome
Rfam family: transfer-messenger RNA
About the family: Bacterial tmRNA, also known as 10Sa RNA or SsrA, is named for its dual tRNA and mRNA-like properties.
Source: RNAcentral
GGGGACGUUUUGGAUUUGACGGGUGGAUUGAUGUAAUCAGGCUGCGGGUCUCAGCGCUGUUCUGAGUUAUCAACGAGCAAAUUAAAACAAACGCUACAAACAAUGUAGUAAAAGCUGAUUUUUCAAGAGUUAGAGCUCUUGCUGCUUAGUAGCAGUUCAGCCGUUAUAUCAGACCAGCUUGCCGUUUGAUAUGACGCAGGUAUGCAAGCUGCACUCCGGUAAUGAAAGCAGCCGGACUAAGUUUUCGCUUUCAAACUGCGUAUCAGUUAAAACUGCUAUGAUAAUAUUUAAGGAAAGGUCUGUGCCGUAAUAUUAUCUAAAAUAACAAACCUACACUCGUAGAUGCAGGUUUAUAUCCCAUUCCGGACGAGAGUUCGAAUCUCUCCGUCUCCAU